Molecule: ribosomal RNA, 503 nt
Filed under: uncultured bacterium
Lineage: Bacteria
Description: partial 16S ribosomal RNA
Rfam family: Bacterial small subunit ribosomal RNA
Source: RNAcentral
AUUGAACGCUGGCGGCAGGCUUAACACAUGCAAGUCGAGCGGGGUGAUGGUGCUUGCACUAUCACUUAGCGGCGGACGGGUGAGUAAUGCUUAGGAAUCUGCCUAUUAGUGGGGGACAACAUCUCGAAAGGGAUGCUAAUACCGCAUAAGUGCUACGGGAGAAAGCAGGGGAUCACUGGUGACCUUGGGCUAAUAGAUGAGCCUAAGUCGGAUUAGCUAGUUGGUGGGGUAAAGGCCUACCAAGGCGACGAUCUGUAGCGGGUUGGCGAGGAUGAUCCGCCACACUGGGACUGAGACACGGCCCAGACUCCUACGGGAGGCAGCAGUGGGGAAUAUUGGACAAUGGGGGGAACCCUGAUCCAGCCAUGCCGCGUGUGUGAAGAAGGCCUUAUGGUUGUAAAGCACUUUAAGCGAGGAGGAGGCUCUUUUGGUUAAUACCCAAGAUGAGUGGACGUUACUCGCAGAAUAAGCACCGGCUAACUCUGUGCCAGCCGCCGCCGUAA